Long non-coding RNA from Schistocerca nitens (vagrant locust), 1208 nucleotides. RefSeq lists it as uncharacterized. The transcript is spliced from 4 exons. NCBI's taxonomy places the organism in Eukaryota, Metazoa, Arthropoda, Insecta, Orthoptera, Acrididae. The record is from RefSeq and is a predicted model, not a curated record.
UGUACGACAGAGGUUGCGCGGUAACGUGAAAGCUAAAUGUGGUCAUCCACAGUAUAAAUGAAUUAUCAGCAGGUGAUGCAGUGGGAUUUAGUGUUCUUCAACAUCAAGCAGAACGGCUUUUGUCUGUAAUUAGCCAUGAAGCAAUUCAACAAUGUGUGGAUGACACAGAGCAUUUGCAAACAAGUGGACUGUCUGACAGAAUACUUCGUCUUGAAUCACGUGCUCGACCAGUGCAAGGUGUAGAUUCAUCUGUGAACACACGCGGGUCACGAUGUGACAUCGAUGAGCGUUAUCCCGAUAUGAGCAGCUCUCGGGAAUCCCUUAUGGAUCUGGGUAAUGUGGUGAGUCUGCCACCAGUGCCUGAAGACAGUCUUGGAAACUUCUGCAAACUUGCUGUCAGAACGUCUAGCCUGUCAUCACUGAAAAACUUCCGCAAAGUAAAACUGUGUUUGCAGCGUGCAUCCUCUGAGGAGGAUGAGGACAGUGAAAGUGAAGAACACAGCUUUGCUUCAUCGGAUGAGCAAGGAAGCAGUGACAAGGAAAUGAGGCCAGCUUUUCUGUCGCAAAAAAAGAACAUCAUGCUUGGUAACAUUAAAGAAGAAGUUUGAAGACUUCUGGCACUUGACACCAUUUCCUGGUUUAUUUUGUCUGCAAAAACAUUAAUGGCCUUCUGGAUUUUUUUGUGGGCAACAGCUCCUAGAUAUACUGGAAGAGAGGAGAAUAAUUGUUGCAAAAAUACUUGUAACUUAAGAAGUCAAAUUAUAAGGAAACAAUGUUCACAAAAUAUUCUCUGUUAUAUGACUGCUAUAUAAACUUGAUUUUAUAUCUAAACAUAGCAAUAAAAAUUGUGAAAAACAGGAGCAACCACCUAAUAUUGGGAAAAAGCAGAGAUGUAUAUAGGAAAUCAUGAACAAGCCUCAAACUUCUCUUAGAGUGCUUUAUAUUGUAGUUCCAAGGAAAAUGCACGUUUUGUUUUAGAAAAGUCUGCUGGAGGAUGUGAUAACUCUAAACUACAAUUUUAAAAUAACAAUUUAUAAAGGCUUCAAACAAAUCAUUUUUAAAGUUGUAGUUUAGAAUUAUCAAGACACUUUUCCAGCUUCUGACAGACUUUUCUACGACUGAACAGAUGUACGAGGCAUGAUCAGAAAGUAAGUGUAUUACAUUUUCAAGUGUAUUUGAAAAAGAAAUUACAGGAUAUUGUUGAUAUA